UAAUGGGAUCUGAACAUACUGUUAUUUGUUUUGGGGCAGUAGGCAUCAAUGCUCCACUGAGCUCGACUGACGUUGAGUUUAUUCCAGUUUUUCUGCAAAUGUUGUAUUCGUUAUGUUA
Molecule: long non-coding RNA, 118 nt
Organism: Sander lucioperca (pikeperch)
Lineage: Eukaryota; Metazoa; Chordata; Actinopteri; Perciformes; Percidae
Exons: 4
Source: RefSeq, a predicted model, not a curated record